This 501-nucleotide ribosomal RNA is filed under the name uncultured bacterium. Its description in RNAcentral is "partial 16S ribosomal RNA". It matches the Rfam family "Bacterial small subunit ribosomal RNA", at positions 30 to 523 of the family's 1533-position model. The record is from RNAcentral.
AUUGAACGCUGGCGGCAUGCCUUACACAUGCAAGUCGAACGGCAGCACGGGUGCUUGCACCUGGUGGCGAGUGGCGAACGGGUGAGUAAUAUAUCGGAACGUACCUUAUUGUGGGGGAUAACGCAGCGAAAGCUGUGCUAAUACCGCAUAAUCCCUAAGGGGGAAAGCGGGGGACCGUAAGGCCUCGCGCAAUUAGAGCGGCCGAUACCUGAUUAGCUAGUUGGUGAGGUAAAGGCUCACCAAGGCAACGAUCAGUAGCUGGUCUGAGAGGACGAUCAGCCACACUGGGACUGAGACACGGCCCAGACUCCUACGGGAGGCAGCAGUGGGGAAUUUUGGACAAUGGGGGCAACCCUGAUCCAGCAAUGCCGCGUGAGUGAAGAAGGCCUUCGGGUUGUAAAGCUCUUUUGUCAGGGAAGGAACAGCAGCUCUAACACAGUUUGCGAAUGACGGUACCUGAAGAAUAAGCACCGGCUAACUACGUGCCAGCCGCCGCGGUAA